Bos taurus (domestic cattle) is the source of this 485-nucleotide long non-coding RNA. Lineage: Eukaryota; Metazoa; Chordata; Mammalia; Artiodactyla; Bovidae. The record is from Ensembl.
UGUGCACUCCGGAUCCUCCCAGCAUCGGGACUCCCAGACUGCGUGCCUGGGGCUAGGUUUUGAGCCUUGAGGCCGCGUUUAGGGGAUCAAAGCCGGGAAUCCCAUGGACAGAGGAGCCUGGCGGGCUACAUAGCCCAAGGGGUUGCAGAGUCCAACACGACUGAGCGACUGAGUACAUACCGGCACACAUGAAGUAUAUAAUUCACGGAAGUGCGAGCUGAAACCCCUCAGGAUCUGUGGUUGCCUGGGGGUGGGGCUGACAGGAGUAGGAAGGAGGAAACUUCAGGUGAUGAGUCUGCUCACUAUCUCAUCUCCGUGGUAAGAGUGAUUUCACAGGUGCAUGCCGAUGUCAGAAGGUAUCAAUUGUACUUUACACAUUCAUUUUAUUCCAUAUCAGGUAUGUCUCAUAAAGCUGUUUUUAAAAAACUGAUGGGUAUGGAUGACCUUGGAGAAACGUUCACAAUCAAGUUAUAACUAUGUUGGAA